This 213-nucleotide ribosomal RNA is filed under the name uncultured prokaryote. RNAcentral's name for it is "partial 16S ribosomal RNA". It matches the Rfam family "Bacterial small subunit ribosomal RNA", at positions 525 to 737 of the family's 1533-position model. The record is from RNAcentral.
ACGAAGGGGGCUAGCGUUGUUCGGAAUUACUGGGCGUAAAGGGCGCGUAGGCGGCCUGUUUAGUCAGAAGUGAAAGCCCCGGGCUCAACCUGGGAAUAGCUUUCGAUACUGGCAGGCUUGAGUUCCGGAGAGGAUGGUGGAAUUCCCAGUGUAGAGGUGAAAUUCGUAGAUAUUGGGAAGAACACCGGUGGCGAAGGCGGCCAUCUGGACGGA